AGAGUUUGAUCAUGGCUCAGAUUGAACGCUGGCGGCAGGCCUAACACAUGCAAGUUGAGCGGCAGCACAGGGGAACUUGUUCCCUGGGUGGCGAGCGGCGGACGGGUGAGUAAUGGCUGGGAACCUGCCCUGAUGUGGGGGAUAACAGUUGGAAACGACUGCUAAUACCGCAUGAUGUCUACGGACCAAAGAGGAGGACCUUCGGGCUUCUCGCGUCAGGAUGGGCCCAGUUGGGAUUAGCUAGUUGGUAGGGUAAUGGCCUACCAAGGCGACGAUCCCUAGCUGGUUUGAGAGGAUGAUCAGCCACACUGGAACUGAGACACGGUCCAGACUCCUACGGGAGGCAGCAGUGGGGAAUAUUGCACAAUGGGCGCAAGCCUGAUGCAGCCAUGCCGCGUGUGUGAAGAAGGCCUUCGGGUUGUAAAGCACUUUCAGCAGUGAGGAAGGUGGUGUAGUUAAUACCUGCAUCAUUUGACGUUAGCUGCAGAAGAAGCACCGGCUAACUCCGUGCCAGCAGCCGCGGUAAUACGGAGGGUGCGAGCGUUAAUCGGAAUUACUGGGCGUAAAGCGCAUGCAGGCGGUCUGUUAAGCAAGAUGUGAAAGCCCCGGGCUUAACCUGGGAACCGCAUUUUGAACUGGCAGGCUAGAGUCUUGUAGAGGGGGGGUAGAAUUUCAGGUGUAGCGGUGAAAUGCGUAGAGAUCUGAAGGAAUACCG
This 715-nucleotide ribosomal RNA is filed under the name uncultured bacterium. Its description in RNAcentral is "bacterial SSU rRNA". It matches the Rfam family "Bacterial small subunit ribosomal RNA", at positions 8 to 711 of the family's 1533-position model. The record is from RNAcentral.